UUUAAUUCGAAGCAACGCGAAGAACCUUACCUGGUCUUGACAUCCCGAUGACGAGUGAGCAAAGUCACUUUCCCUUCGGGGCAUUGGAGACAGGUGGUGCAUGGUUGUCGUCAGCUCGUGUCGUGAGAUGUUGGGUUAAGUCCCGCAACGAGCGCAACCCCUAUUUCCAGUAGCCAGCAGGUAGAGCUGGGAACUCUGGAGAGACUGCCCGGGAGAACCGGGAGGAAGGCGGGGAUGACGUCAAAUCAUCAUGCCCCUUAUGAUCAGGGCUACACACGUGCUACAAUGGCGUAAACGAAGGGAAGCGAGACGGUGACGUUAAGCAAAUCCCAAAAAUAACGUCUCAGUUCGGAUUGUAGUCUGCAACUCGACUACAUGAAGCUGGAAUCGCUAGUAAUCGCGAAUCAGAAUGUCG
RNAcentral lists this ribosomal RNA (415 nucleotides) under uncultured bacterium. Its description in RNAcentral is "bacterial SSU rRNA". It matches the Rfam family "Bacterial small subunit ribosomal RNA", at positions 945 to 1359 of the family's 1533-position model. The record is from RNAcentral.